Molecule: ribosomal RNA, 461 nt
Filed under: uncultured bacterium
Lineage: Bacteria
Description: partial 16S ribosomal RNA
Rfam family: Bacterial small subunit ribosomal RNA
Source: RNAcentral
CCUACGGGUGGCAGCAGUGAGGAAUAUUGGUCAAUGGGCGGGAGCCUGAACCAGCCAAGUCGCGUGAGGGAAGACGGUCCUAUGGAUUGUAAACCUCUUUAGGCGGGGCGCAAUGCCGGGCACGCGUGCCCGUAGGGCGAGUACCCGCAGAAUAAGCCUCGGCUAACUCCGUGCCAGCAGCCGCGGUAAUACGGAGGAUGCGAGCGUUAUCCGGAUUUUUUGGGUUUAAAGGGUGCGUAGGCCGCAUGUCCAGCGUGCUGUGAAAUGUCCGGGCUCAACCCGGGCCUUGCAGCGCGAACUGGCGUGCUUGAGUCCGCGGAAAGCAGGCGGAAUUCGUCGUGUAGCGGUGAAAUGCUUAGAUAUGACGAAGAACCCCGAGUGCGAAGGCAGCUUGCUGCAGCGGAACUGACGCUGUUGCUCGAAAUCGCGGGUAUCGAACAGGAUUAGAUACCCGUGUAGUC